RNAcentral lists this ribosomal RNA (460 nucleotides) under uncultured bacterium. RNAcentral's name for it is "SSU rRNA". It matches the Rfam family "Bacterial small subunit ribosomal RNA", at positions 26 to 518 of the family's 1533-position model. The record is from RNAcentral.
AGGACGAACGCUGGCGGCGUGCUUAACACAUGCAAGUCACGGGGGCCCGCAAGGGUAACCGGCGAACGGGUGCGUAACACGUGAGCAACCUGCCUAGAUGUGGGGGAUAGCCGGCCCAACGGCCGGGUAAUACCGCAUACGGUCACGAGGAGGAGUCUCCUUGUGAAGAAACCUCCGGGGCAUUUAGAGGGGCUCGCGGCCUAUCAGCUAGUUGGCGGGGUAAUGGCCCACCAAGGCUUCGACGGGUAGCUGGUCUGAGAGGAUGGCCAGCCACAUUGGGACUGAGACACGGCCCAGACUCCUACGGGAGGCAGCAGCGAGGAAUUUUGCGCAAUGGGGGCAACCCUGACGCAGCAACGCCGCGUGGGUGAUGAAGGCUCUCGGGUCGUAAAGCCCUUUUGUCGGGACGACACCGACGGUACCGACGAAGAAGCCACGGCUAACUCGUGCCAGCAGCCGC